UGUUUGAUAAAGUCUUGAAUGGGUCGAAUAAUUGUGUAAGUAACGCAUUGUUAAGGAAAUUCGGGUAGAUUAAGGUCUUGGGGCAGGGGCUUUUAGUUAGUUAUGUAAGGAAUAAUUUUACGGAUAAUUAGAAACAAGUUUCAACUUUUUCGGAUGUAAAUUGGUCAAGAUAUGCUAGUUUAAAUAAUUAAAAUGGAAGUUGAGUUGGGCACUACCGUAGCUUACGGUGAUAGGUUCUGAAGUCUUCAUGGCCACCGUAAGGCAGUAGUAUCUCACCGUAAAGAUUUUAUGGCCACCGUAAGCUACGGUAGCCACCGUAGCUUACGGUGGAGCUGUCGCGCCCCGCGAAGUAGUAAGCCAAGGCUUACGCAGCCCGCGAGGGACCGUGCUGCUGGCAUUUUGUCGGAUUUUUGAUGUUCUGAGCAUGGGACUUGUCUAAAAGGGUUAUCCAAGGUCUCAUAACUUACGUUAAGGUUGGUUUCGAAUAAUAGUGAUGAAAAAGGUCGUCGACUAGUGAAAGAAUGGUUUUGCUUAUGUGUUAGUAUAGGAAAUUCUAUAAGUAAAUAUGAUUAGGAAUCUAGCAGGCACAUAAGUCGAUUUCUAUAUCGCCUAUAUUAUGUAUGUUGUGAACAUGCCAUAUUUGGCAUUAGCGUACGAGUAUGAAGUGGUAAGCAUGAGUUCGUGUGUAUAUAUAUUUAUGAAUGAUUGUUUGUACGUAGACGUAGGCAUGCAUGCAUGAAGGUACGUUUGUCCAUAAGUAUAUUUGAUAAUAGGUGUGUAAGAAUGAAUGUAUGUGUGUAUGAAUGUACGAUGCUCGAGAUAUACGUACGAAUGUUAUCAAGGCAUCCGAGUGUUUACGAUUACUAAUGAUGUGUUAUGAGUUUGGAAUGUAAUACAGGUAUCGUUCGGGUUUCCUCUACCACUAGCGAAGUGAAGCGGACAUAG
RNAcentral lists this long non-coding RNA (945 nucleotides) under Helianthus annuus (common sunflower). RNAcentral describes it as "sRNA HanXRQr2_Chr13g0603691". The record is from RNAcentral. Lineage: Eukaryota; Viridiplantae; Streptophyta; Magnoliopsida; Asterales; Asteraceae.